RNAcentral lists this ribosomal RNA (434 nucleotides) under uncultured Methanomethylovorans sp. RNAcentral's name for it is "bacterial SSU rRNA". It matches the Rfam family "Archaeal small subunit ribosomal RNA", at positions 906 to 1338 of the family's 1478-position model. The record is from RNAcentral. Lineage: Archaea; Methanobacteriati; Methanobacteriota; Methanomicrobia; Methanosarcinales; Methanosarcinaceae.
UUGGACUCAACGCCGGAAAACUCACCGGGGGCGACAGCAAUAUGUAGGUCAAGCUAAAGACUUUACCAGAAUCGCUGAGAGGAGGUGCAUUGGCCGUCGUCAGUUCGUACUGUGAAGCAUCCUGUUAAGUCAGGCAACGAGCGAGACCCGUGCCCACUGUUGCCAGCAUGUCCUUCGGGAUGAUGGGUACUCUGUGGGGACCGCCGAUGCUAAAUCGGAGGAAGGUGCGGGCUACGGUAGGUCAGUAUGCCCCGAAUCUCCCGGGCUACACGCGGGCUACAAUGACUGGGACAAUGGGCUCCUACCCCGAAAGGGGAUGGUAAUCUCAUAAACCCAGCCUUAGUUCGGAUCGAGGGCUGUAACCCGCCCUCGUGAAGCUGGAAUCCGUAGUAAUCGCGUUUCAACAUAGCGCGGUGAAUACGUCCCUGCUCCUU